GGCUUAGCCAGGCUGGGUCCUCGGUGGGGCUGCUGAAUCGGCGCUCGGCCUCCCAGCGGCCCGCGAGCAGUUGAGGACCGGCGGCUGGCUCGGCCCCCGGGGAAGAUUUAUGACAAAGUCCAGUUUUCAACAAUGCUGAAAUCAAAUGAUUGCUUGUUUCCUGUGGAAAAUUUGUUUUUCAAAAAACAAGAUGAAGUUGAAAACUAUUCAGACAAUGAAAAGUCAUUGGAUUGGUUUCUCCCAUCCGUUCCAUUGAUUUCAGAAAUUCCAGAUACUGAAGAACUAGAAGAAGAAAUAGAAAGUCAUAAUCUUAUAGGUCAGGAAAAGAGGCCAAAAAUGUUAACAUCAAAUUUAAAGAUUACUAAUGAAGAUUAUGUUACCCCAACACAAAAUUUCCAGUUUGCCUUCCACCCUUAUAGAUAUGAGCAAGAAGAUCAAAAUUUAGGAGUGACAGAUAACAAUGAUUUGCCACAUGUUGCUGGGAAGCUGACAUAUUGUUCUCAGAAAUAUAAAAAUCACAUUGGCUCUGCAGUAGCACCUGAGAAAAGUGUUCCUGCUGAUACAAAAUUAGUUAAUUUUACAGAAGAUAAAGGAGUGAGCACGUCAGCAUUCCGGAAAAGAUUAUUUAAAUUAUCUGACAGUGUGCAAGGGAGUGUUUAUUGUAAUGACAAUGCAAGCUUGAACUCUCACGUUACCUCAGUGAAACUUGUCCAAACAGAUAUGAACAAAGGAAAGUCAUGGUCAAGCAAUAGUAAUCAAAAACUUCAAUAUUCUGCAGAUAUGUUCAUUGCAAAUAAUGCUUUUUUGGCUUCUGAAAUUGGAAAAGGGGGAACAGAAGAUGGUUUAGGUUCCUUGAAGGCUGUCGCAGAAAUCCCGACAAAAUAUAGAAGUAUUUUUAAGGAAUUUCCAUAUUUUAACUAUAUACAGUCAAAAGCCUUUGAUGAUCUUCUUUAUACAGAUAGGAACUUUGUGAUUUGUGCUCCAACUGGUUCUGGGAAAACGGUAAUAUUUGAACUAGCUAUCACAAGAUUGUUAAUGGAAGUACCAUUACCAUGGUUGAACAUUAAAAUUGUUUACAUGGCACCAAUAAAAGCCCUGUGUAGUCAGCGUUUUGAUGAUUGGAAGGAAAAAUUCGGACCAUUAGGUUUGAAUUGUAAAGAACUCACUGGAGAUACAGCAAUGGAUGACCUAUUUGAGAUUCAGCAUGCCCAUAUUAUUAUGACAACUCCAGAAAAAUGGGAUAGCAUGACUAGGAAAUGGAGAGACAGCUCUUUGGUCCAGUUGGUUCGACUGUUUCUCAUUGAUGAGGUACAUAUUAUAAAAGAUGAAAAUCGUGGUCCAACUCUUGAAGUUGUAGUCAGCAGAAUGAAAACUGUUCAGUCUUCAUCCCAGAUUUCAGAAAAUACCAGCGCUAUUAUUCCAAUGAGAUUUGUAGCUGUAUCUGCAACAAUUCCAAAUGCUGAGGAUAUUGCAGAAUGGCUUUCGAAUGAUGAAAGACCUGCUGUAUGUCUGAAAAUGGAUGAGAGCCAUAGACCUGUGAAACUUAAGAAAGUGGUCCUUGGAUUUCCUUGCACUAGUAACCAAACUGAAUUUAAGUUUGACUUAUCCCUCAACUACAAAAUUGCCAGUGUUAUACAAACAUAUUCUGAUCAGAAACCCUCACUUGUGUUUUGUGCAACAAGGAAAGGUGUGCAACAGGCUGCUUCUGUUUUUGUGAAAGAUGCCAAAUUUGUUUUGACUAUGGAACAGAAACAGAGGUUACAGAAGUAUGCAUAUUCCGUAAGAGAUUUGAAACUGAAAGAUAUCUUAAUACAUGGUGUUGCUUAUCAUCAUGCUGGUAUGGAGCUGUCAGAUAGAAAAGUAGUUGAAGAAAUUUUUACUAUUGGAGAUCUACCAGUUCUUUUUACUACCAGUACUUUAGCCAUGGGAGUAAAUUUGCCUGCUCACCUAGUUGUUAUAAAAUCUACAAUGCAUUAUGCUGGAGGAAUGUUUGAAGAGUAUAGUGAAACAGAUAUUCUGCAGAUGAUUGGUAGAGCUGGUCGACCUCAAUUUGACACUACAGCUACGGCAGUUAUUAUGACUCGAUUAAGUACAAGAGACAAGUACAUUGAAAUGUUAGCUUGCAAUGACACUGUAGAAAGCAGUUUGCACAGACAUCUCAUUGAACAUUUAAAUGCCGAGAUAGUAUUACACACCAUCACAGAUGUGAAUAUUGCUUUGGAAUGGAUACGAUCAACCUUGCUUUAUAUCAGAGCCUUGAAAAAUCCAUCUCAUUAUGGUUUUACAUCUGGAUUGAAUAAAGAUGGAAUUGAAGAAAAAUUACAAGAAUUAUGUUUGAAGAAUCUGAAUGAUUUAUCAUCCCUGGACUUGAUAAAGAUGGAUGAAGAUGUUACUUUCAAACCAACUGAGGCAGGAAGAUUGAUGGCUUGGUAUUAUAUUACAUUUGACACAGUGAAGAAAUUUCAUAAAAUCAAUGGAAGAGAAACUUUAUCAGAUCUGGUCACAAUGAUAGCCAGCUGCAAGGAAUUUCUAGAUAUACAGUUAAGAAUAAGUGAAAAGAAAACACUGAAUACUUUGAACAAAGAUCCAAAUCGGAUAACUAUCAGAUUUCCAAUGGAAGGAAGGAUUAAAACAAGAGAAAUGAAAGUAAACUGUCUUAUUCAGGCUCAACUAGGAUGCAUUCCCUUUCAAGAUUUUGCUUUGACACAAGAUACAGCAAAAAUUUUCAGAACUGGCUCACGAAUUACAAGAUGGUUAUCAGAUUUUGUGGCUGCUCAGGAAAACAAGUUUACCAUCCUAUUGAAUAGUUUAAUUUUAGCUAAAUGUUUUAGGUGUAAACUUUGGGAAAACUCUCUGCAUGUUUCCAAACAGUUGGAAAAAAUUGGUAUAACACUGUCAAAUGUCAUGGUAAAUGCAGGUUUGACUUCCUUUAAAAAAAUAGAAGAAACAGAUGCAAGAGAACUUGAACUGGUUUUAAAUAGACAUCCUCCAUUUGGAACUCAGAUAAAAGAAACUGUAAUGUAUCUACCAAAAUAUGAACUUGAAGUAAAGCAGAUUGCAAGGUAUGAUGAUACCAUCGCAGAAAUAUUAGUGACCAUUAUAUUAAGAAACUUUGAACAACUGCAAACUAAAAGAACAGCACCAGAUUCUCACUCUGCUACCUUGAUCAUAGGUGAUGCAGAUAAUCAAGUAGUUUUUAAGUACAAAAUUAUGGAUUCUGUUUUGCUAAAAACUGGAAAUUGGACUAAAAAGAUUGAUGUGAAGAGAGCUCUUAAAUCUGAAGAUCUUAGCAUAAAUCUAAUUAGUUCUGAUUUUGUUGGACUUGAUAUUCAGCAGAAAUUUUCGGUCUUUUACUUAAAACCCAAGAGAUCUGAAAAUCAAGUAAUUAUGGGAAGAAAAUCAGAAACAGAGGUUUCCCAUUCUAAGCAGUCAGAUAGAUCUACUAUAGCAGGACCCAAUAAAGGAAUGACUACUUGCAAAAAACCUGGGAACCGAGAAUGUAAUCAUCCUUGUAAAAAUAAACAAACAUGUGGACAUGACUGCUGUAAAACUGGAGUUGCACAGAAAUCAGAAAUUAGAGACUCACCAAUUUCUUCAUAUUUAUCUGAUUUAAGAAACAGGAAUGCCUGUUCAUCUCUUCCUCCAGUUAAACGACUCAAGAUUCAGAUGAAUAAACCUCAAAGCGUGAGCCUUACAGAGUUUGGUUUUACUCCAAAACCUUCCCUACCCAGUAUAUCAAGGUUGGAAUAUUCAAAUAUACCUGAAUUGCCUCUAAUGGAACAAUGGGAUCAGCAUAAAAUCUGUGGAAAAAUCCAGCAAGAGCCAUCAGAAUAUCAAGACAAAGAUUUUUCUAGAUGGAAUGAGAAAGCUGUACAAACAGUGCUGGUCAACAGAAAUCUUAGCAUGUCUGGAAACCAAAAUUUGACAGAUGCAGAUAAAAGCAACUCUACAUUUUCAGAAGUUUUGAAUGUGAACUUUGAAUUGGAAAAUGAAGUUUGGGAUGAUUUUGAUGAUGAAAAUUUAAUAGAAGUUACUAACUUUUCAUAUGAUGAGAAGACAAAAACAUCAGGAUUUGGAAGCACUUUGAGUUCAAGUAUCAGAGGAAGUGAGCUACCUUUCCAGGAGUCAAAGAGCAAAUUCCAAAGAGAAAUAUCAAACAGUUUUGUUUCAUCACAUGAGAAGGCAAAUAUUUAUUUAUCAAAUUCUGCUUUGUCCAAGUUUGGUGCAUCCUCGAUGGCACAAUUACCUCAACAAGCUGGAAAUGGAAGUUUUGUUCAUUUACAAGAAAGAAAACAACAAAGACUGUCACCAGAGAUUCAGAAGCUAUGCUUUAUUAAUUCCUCUCCAAAAUCAAAUUCUUCAAAUUUUAAGAAUGUGGAGUUCUUUUUUAGAAAUGAUGAAUGUAAAAAGGAAAUUGAUGUCAGUAAUCAUCCUGAUGAUGAAGCUGAUGAAAUUAAGACUCUUCUGGGAAUAUUUGAUGAAGCCAAGAUCCAGACUUGAGACAAAAGAAUUGGAAAAACACCUGAUGGUCAAAUCCAGUUUUUAGUCUAUGGACUAAAGAGUCUCUAGAUUUGUAGAAAAACAGAGAAGUCAGAGGAAAAGAAAAGAGCUCAAGUGUGGAUACCUGAAAAAGUGUCUAUGUCCAAGUUGCUUCUGGACUGAUUCUGAAUUUCAGCCCUGGAGAUUUUCAAGCACAGAGAAGACAACCAUUUGAAGACAUUAUUGAGCGGAUUCUACUAUAAUGAGGGUCUGGCUCGACCACCAGGAUUCUAGGAUCAAGCAUUUAUUAGAGCCUAGUGUGUUCUUGGCCCUACAGCUGAAACAGUUCAUCAGAGCCCCACUGGGAUGAAGGUAAGGAAAACAUGCUGCUCAGAGAGAGGCCAAAUGGUCAGAGCCGGCGCUUCUGUGUUGCUGACCUCAGCUGGCGAGCAGACAGGACUGAGUUUUCUAAGUACCCCAGCCAUAACUCCAGCCACAUAAUCACUGUUCAGCUUCAUGGGUUCCAGCUGGACCAAACUUUGCCCAAAUUUGGGGCAGAAAUGGGGUGUGGCCUGAGCAUGGAUGAACUGUGGCACGGGCAGUAGUGAUGACCACAGGGAAAGUGUAUCAUGGCCAUCCUCUGUGCAGUAGAAUUGGCUUGAGCUGCCAUCCACUUAAAACAGAAGCAAGAUUAGCUUUCUUUUUCCUCGACUGCUUCCAAGGAGGGCUCGCUCAUAUUAGCGUGCAGAUUUCUGAAAAGGAAUUCUGUGUGGUUGAUAGAGAAUGACUGUUCUCUAUGUCCACUGGUGUGUCUUUCUCAAACUUUAAUGCACAUAUGUACUACCUGGGGAUCCAAUUAAAAUGCAGAUUCUGGAACCUGAGAUUCUGUUCCAAACUCUCAGGAAAAGAUGAUUAUCAUGACCAGAAACCACAGUUUAAAAAGCAAAAGACUAACAUAAAAUUACAGUGGAAUGGAUAUAAGUUAGUGGGGGUUCAGCACACUACAUCACUGGAACCACCUGAGGAACUUCAAAAAUGCACCUGUGCCUGAUCAUGAUCGAUUGAAUUAGAAUCUCUGGAACUGACGCUUGAGCACCUGCAUGUUGUUAUGCCUUCCAAUGAUUCUUAUUCUCUAAGACUGAGAAAUCUAAGAAGUUUUGUAAAUGUGUAUACAUAUGAGGAGGUCUUCAAAAAGUUAAUGGAGGGGAUGGCACUGUGGUGCAGUGGGUAAAGCCGCCACCUGCAGUGCUGGCAUCCCAUAUGGGCACAGGUUGAAGUCCCAGCUGCUCCACUUCUGGCCCAGCUCUCUGCUAAUGUGCCUGGGAAAGUAGCAGAAGAUGGCCCAAGUGCUUGAGCCCCUGCACCCACGUGGAAGACCUGGAAGAAGCACCUGGCUCCUGGCUUCAGCCUGACCCAGGGCACUGUGGCCAUUUGGGGAGUGAACCAGCAGAUGGAAGACCUCUCUCUGUCUCUCUCUCUCUCUCUCUCUAGAUAUAUCUCUAUCUCUAUCAUCUCUUAUCUCUAACUCCAUUUCCAUCUCUAUUUCUCUCUAUCUUUUUCUAUGUCUCUAUCUCUCUCUGUCACUCUGCCCUUCAAAUAAAUAAAUCUUUAAA
This is a non-coding RNA of Oryctolagus cuniculus (rabbit), 6092 nucleotides long. NCBI's taxonomy places the organism in Eukaryota, Metazoa, Chordata, Mammalia, Lagomorpha, Leporidae. The record is from RefSeq and is a predicted model, not a curated record.